RNAcentral lists this unclassified non-coding RNA (422 nucleotides) under Hevea brasiliensis (rubber tree). Lineage: Eukaryota; Viridiplantae; Streptophyta; Magnoliopsida; Malpighiales; Euphorbiaceae. The record is from RNAcentral.
GAGAGAGAGAGAGAGAGAGUAAUACAACUAGACAUAUGACAAGGAUAUAGUUUCAGCAGAUUGAACUAAUUAAAUGGGGAAGGACAUGGUGGCUCAGAAACUUGAACAACUCCUUCAAGCAUCUGUGUCACAGUCCUCAUGGAGGGUCUUAGAGAUGGAUCCUCUUGGAUGCACCAUAUUGCCACCAUCACUAGCUUUUCUACCCUUUUUAUGUCAUUUCUUGCCUCCUCAUCAUCCUCCACUAGUUUAUCUAAUAUUUUUUCUUUGUAGCAGUCAUAUGCCCAGUCAGCUAGUAUGACCUCCUCUUCAUUCUCGUUUUCCAUUUCAAGGCCCCUUCUGCAACAAAUGAUCUCUAAUAACAUCACUCCAUAACUAUAAACAUCUACUUUUGCUGUAAUUGGCAUGUUCCUGAACCAUUCUGG